This 1898-nucleotide long non-coding RNA is filed under the name Gallus gallus (chicken). RNAcentral describes it as "long non-coding RNA NONGGAT007132". The record is from RNAcentral. Lineage: Eukaryota; Metazoa; Chordata; Aves; Galliformes; Phasianidae.
UCAUUAGUCCUCUCUCCCUGUGUGUUUAACUGAUGCAAAACACAUUUUCUGUUUUUUAGGAGAGAAUUCAUCUCAGGGGAAGAAUAAAACUCGACAAUGUGAUGACUCCUCUUCAAACUUCAGCAAUAAAUAUAUGUGAAGCAGCCUGGUUUAAGACAACAUGCAGGAACAGCCCACCAAGGUUGCAAUGCCGCGGGAACUGUGGAGCAGCUGAAGCUUUUUGCCAGGCAGGACACUUGUGCUAAUGACCAGCCCUUGACUUCUAAGCCUCAAGUGCCUCCUGUCCCUUCUGGGACGACGUGCUUUUUUGAUGGCUUAAUAACUGGUAUAUCAUAUGUAUUUAUUAUGUUCUCAUAUAGUAGAAGCAGGAAAACUCUCAAGAAGGUUGAAGAGCAUGUUUGCAUAGUCAUUAUUACAAGAAUCUUCUGCGCAUACAGGAAGGAAUACGUUAGCAUACUUUGUUGAGCUUAUGGUAUUUAGGGUUCUUUUAAUUGUAUGUAGCAAAAUACAAACACGGCCUGACCCUUGAAACGUUACUGGGCCAACAGCCACGAUGGAAGUUAAUUCAGUGAUUUCCUGGAGACUCCUCACUGAAGCACACGCUUCACUUGUCAUAAAUGUUUACAGGAUGGGAUGCCUGGGUGAAAUGCUGAAGUGUGCUUUAUUUCUGUGAAGGGGAGGAAUACGCUUUGCACUGAUGUUUGUGGUUUUGUUUUGUUUUUUGAAGUUCUGUAAAUUGCUGAAUAUGGUCCUUGUGAUGUAGCAGGCAACACAGUUAGUUUUCUCCUGUUCCUUGGCUAGCUGCUGCAUUAUGCGUGCUGUGAAUGACUCCUCUAAGCUGAGGUGUAUGGUGGGGAUCAGCAGGAAAAGCAAUUCUGCAGCUGAACCCUGUAUUUGGAGUAAUGCAUGAGAUUCUUGUUGGCUACCAAAUAACUCUGGAAGUUUAAGGAGUGUUUCAAGUGAUGAUUACAGACUCUUAAUUUGUACAGAGCUGAUGCUGCAAAAAUAUCAAGUAGUGCUUCUACCUGCAUGUAUCCUACUCUGCUAGAACUGUAAAUGUUCAAAAAUUAUAUUAAUGUGAGCAUCUGCUCAGCCUCAGUCCACUGGCUCUGGCAAUGUCCUGGGAAGCUCCAUUGUUGUACUGGGGAAAGGAAAGGAGACGGUGGUGUAAGUGUGGGGCUGAGAGCCAAUUUGAGUUGUGAUACCACUGAUAACAAUGCUUUUGAGGAAACUUCUCCCUCCAGUUUCCCUCUGUGGGUUGAGAAAACUUAACUAGCAGUAUGGCAAGAGAUUGAAUGGAUUUGUUAGUUCAUAUUUAUGCACAAAGAUAAAGCGUUCAUGUCCCUACUUUUGACUGUUGCUCUUAUUUCAUCGGUGAUGGAUCUAAUCCUCUGUCUUACCAGCACCAAGAGAAAUUUUGAUGAAGUUUUGUAAAAGUUGAGAAACAAACAAGGGUGCUCCAUACUGCAGCUGAACUUCUAUGGUCUGUUCAGGUGCUCCUGGAUCACUUGGGUUGCUCCAGAGCAGAGGAGUUGUGUAUCUGCUUUAGAAAGGUCAGGUUGCCUAAAAUACACCAGAUAGCAUCUGCACCUACUCAGAUUCCUGAUUGCUGAAGUUUCCAGUGAAAAAAGAAAGCAAUCAUUGUGCAUUUUCGUGUUGAUUUUAAAAUCUUUUUGUAGCAUGUUGCAUCCUAUUGAGAGGACAGUAGAAAAGACCAGAGAAACAUUACAAAAAAUACGUGUAUGUGUAAAAUUUGUUCAGUACCUCCACGAUGUGUCAAGGAGAGAAAACAACUUCCUAUUAAAAGUUAUUAUGUUUAUUAAAAGGCUCUACUUUUUCUCUUUGCAGAAAUGCAGUUCAUUACCUGUGCCUAGCACCAGAGUUGGCCACUGCGCUGC